GAUGAACGCUGGCGGCGUGCCUAAUACAUGCAAGUAGAACGCUGAAGGAGGAGCUUGCUCUUCUGGAUGAGUUGCGAACGGGUGAGUAACGCGUAGGUAACCUGCCUGGUAGCGGGGGAUAACUAUUGGAAACGAUAGCUAAUACCGCAUGACAACAGUUAUAGCAUGAUAACUGUUUAAAAGGGGCAACUGCUCCACUACCAGAUGGACCUGCGUUGUAUUAGCUAGUUGGUGAGGUAACGGCUCACCAAGGCGACGAUACAUAGCCGACCUGAGAGGGUGAUCGGCCAAACUGGGACUGAGACACGGCCCAGACUCCUACGGGAGGCAGCAGUAGGGAAUCUUCGGCAAUGGACGGAAGUCUGACCGAGCAACGCCGCGUGAGUGAAGAAGGUUUUCGGAUCGUAAAGCUCUGUUGUAAGAGAAGAACGAGUGUGAGAGUGGAAAGUUCACACUGUGACGGUAUCUUACCAGAAAGGGACGGCUAACUACGUG
RNAcentral lists this ribosomal RNA (495 nucleotides) under uncultured bacterium. RNAcentral describes it as "partial 16S ribosomal RNA". It matches the Rfam family "Bacterial small subunit ribosomal RNA", at positions 28 to 507 of the family's 1533-position model. The record is from RNAcentral.